Molecule: long non-coding RNA, 293 nt
Organism: Ornithodoros turicata
Lineage: Eukaryota; Metazoa; Arthropoda; Arachnida; Ixodida; Argasidae
Exons: 2
Source: RefSeq, a predicted model, not a curated record
UUCAUGAUGUCCAUGAUCAGAUGUCCUUAUGAACGCUGCCUGAAGUAGUUCCGUGCCGUCUCCGCGUUUUAUGUGCACCUUCUUGUCCUUCCUUUGAAAAAAUAAAACUAAUUUCCAGUCUAAUUUCCUUUCUCUUUGAAGUGUUUUGAUGCCAGAGCUGACUGAUGGGUGCACAUGGUUCCUUCGUAUGUUCUUCAUUUGAAAAAAUAAACGGGUUUUGAUGCCAGAGGUGACUGGCGCAUUUUCAUCACUAUGUACAUAGAAAAUAAAUCCCAAUGUGACAAACAUCACAA